AAGUCGUAACAAGGUUUCCGUAGGUGAACCUGCGGAAGGAUCAUUAACACUUUUUAUAAUUUAAAUUUCUUUCUUUCGUUAAAAAGAGAAAGAAAUUUAUAUUUCAAAACCCCACAAUUUUGGAUGAAUUUAAUUAAUUUAAUUUUUAUUUAUUAUUUAAUUUUUUAUAACUAAAAUAUUUUAGACUAAAAUCUAUUUUAUAUAAAUUUAUUUAUAAUUUAAAAAACAACUCUUAACAACGGAUAUCUUGGCUCUC
RNAcentral lists this unclassified non-coding RNA (256 nucleotides) under fungal sp. RNAcentral describes it as "partial internal transcribed spacer region". The stretch from base 1 to 46 matches the Rfam family "Eukaryotic small subunit ribosomal RNA", at positions 1786 to 1831 of the family's 1831-position model. Lineage: Eukaryota; Fungi. The record is from RNAcentral.